RNAcentral lists this ribosomal RNA (205 nucleotides) under uncultured bacterium. RNAcentral describes it as "partial 16S ribosomal RNA". It matches the Rfam family "Bacterial small subunit ribosomal RNA", at positions 568 to 774 of the family's 1533-position model. The record is from RNAcentral.
AGCGUAGACGGCACGGCAAGCCAGAUGUGAAAGCCCGGGGCUCAACCCCGGGACUGCAUUUGGAACUGCUGAGCUAGAGUGUCGGAGAGGCAAGUGGAAUUCCCAGUGUAGCGGUGAAAUGCGUAGAUAUUAGGAGGAACACCAGUGGCGAAGGCGGCUUGCUGGACGAUGACUGACGUUGAGGCUGAAAGCUGGGGAGCAAACA